Molecule: ribosomal RNA, 460 nt
Filed under: uncultured bacterium
Lineage: Bacteria
Description: partial 16S ribosomal RNA
Rfam family: Bacterial small subunit ribosomal RNA
Source: RNAcentral
CCUACGGGUGGCAGCAGUGAGGAAUAUUGGUCAAUGGACGAGAGUCUGAACCAGCCAUGUAGCGUGAAGGAUGACUGCCCUAUGGGUUGAAAACUUCUUUUAUAUGGGAAUAAAACGUUCCACUUGUGGGAUUUUGUAUGUACCAUAUGAAUAAGGAUCGGCUCACUCCGUGCCAGCAGCCGCGGUAAUACGGAGGAUCCGAGCGUUAUCCGGAUUUAUUGGGUUUAAAGGGAGCGUAGGUGGAUGGUUAAGUCAGUUGUGAAAGGUUGGGGCUCAACCGUACAAUUGCAGUUGAAACUGGCAGUCUUGAGUACAGUAGAGGUGGGCGGAAUUCGUGGUGUAGCGGUGAAAUGCUUAGAGAUCACGAAGAACUCCGAUGGCGAAGGCAGUUCACUGGACUGCAACUGACGCUGAGGCUCGAAAGUGUGGGGAUCAAACAGGAUUAGAUACCCGUGUAGUC